This 578-nucleotide ribosomal RNA is filed under the name uncultured bacterium. RNAcentral's name for it is "bacterial SSU rRNA". It matches the Rfam family "Bacterial small subunit ribosomal RNA", at positions 102 to 676 of the family's 1533-position model. The record is from RNAcentral.
ACGGGUGAGUAAUACGUAGGAACCGACCCUAAAGCGGGGGAUAACCCGGGGAAACUCGGGCUAAUACCGCAUACGGCUUCAGAGUCAAAGCUUGGGACCUUCGGGCCAAGCACUUUAGGCCGGGCCUACGACAGAUUAGCUAGUUGGUGAGGUGAAGGCUUACCAAGGCGACGAUCUGUAGCUGGUCUGAGAGGACGACCAGCCACACUGGGACUGAGACACGGCCCAGACUCCUACGGGAGGCAGCAGUGGGGAAUCUUGGACAAUGGGGGCAACCCUGAUCCAGCGAUGCCGCGUGUGUGAAGAAGGCCUGCGGGUUGUAAAGCACUUUUAUUGGGGAAGAAAGGCCUUGUACGAAUAGUGCAAGGAGUUGACGUUACCCAAAGAAAAAGCACCGGCUAACUCUGUGCCAGCAGCCGCGGUAAUACAGAGGGUGCGAGCGUUAAUCGGAAUUACUGGGCGUAAAGGGCGCGUAGGUGGUUAUUUAAGUUAGAUGUGAAAUCCCAGGGCUCAACCCUGGCACUGCAUUUGAUACUGAAUGACUAGAGUACAGUAGAGGGAAGUGGAAUUUCCGGUGU